AAACGUGCGCACAGCUCCUUCGUCCAGCUCUUAUGGAACUUUCGGAAAAAGAGGCCGAAACAUGAUAUGCAGUCCCUUAAAUACAUUGAAAUGACGUAGGUAGAUUCUGGUAGUCCUGGUUUCUGGUAGGUUGCUUGUAGGUGAUAGACAGUCCCCUCCAGCCUGGUGUCCGUAUCCCGUUGGUUCUUGACAGAGUUCUUUGUCUUUGGAGCCCAUCCCGAAGGAGGUCGGGUGUUUGUGUUUUAGGAAUUUCAGUAUAUAUGUUCAGUAUAUGUGCUAUCUCAAUCAGCCACCCCUACAGGGUUGUACCAGUGCGAUUAGUAUCUACAGAAGAACAGGGGGAGGGUAGGGUUAUGACACAGUGUGCAAGCCACAAUUGCAUGGUUAGGCCACAGGCAGACAACAGUCAGUAAAUGCGUUAUUACAUGCGUUUAAUAUGUUUAUUACACUAGCUAUCUUGAUAUAUUUAACAUGGUAAAAUACAUCGGUAGGUAGCUAGCUAACAGCCAUGGAGGACGGUGAAAGGAUAGCAGGCCCAGCUGUGGGAGAGCAUGCUACUCUGGAUAGAGCAGAGAGAGCUGUGAAAGCCUGUUUGCAGAUGAAGUGUUGUCCCAAUGAAGAGCAGCGGUUCUCAGUCCUGGUCCUGGGGACUCAAAAGGCAUAACGUACUCUGUAGCUAAGUAGUGUGGACACCAGCUUAUAUCAGCUGUGUUGGUGAACCUCUCCUGCAUCUGAACUGGCUGACACCGAGGGCACAGCAUGAUCAUAGGUAUGUUUUAAUGUGAGAGAGGAAGCCAGUCCCGUCAUCGCCACCUCACCCGCUCUUAAGAUAACCUUCGGGCCGACUGGGGGCUCAAGGCUGGUUAGGAGACACCGCUAGAGACACUAUGUAAUUGUGAUGAACUGAGAGAAUAUUAGUGUAGCACUGUAAUUCAUUAAUUAACUGCGGUCUUCCCUGCUCCUCUGUUCUUAUCUAUUUGCCUUUGUCUUCUACACCUCUCUCCCCACCUCUUUGUUCCUCUUUUUUUAUAAUGCACAGCACAUGUGCAUUGAAGUACAGAUUGAACUUGUAUUUAUAAUAUUUAUAAUGCAAGUAUUAUGCAUUUAUAACACCUGGAUAAUGAACUUUCAAUAAAGUGUUUCACAUUC
Long non-coding RNA from Oncorhynchus masou masou (cherry salmon), 1149 nucleotides. RefSeq lists it as uncharacterized. The transcript has 5 exons. The record is from RefSeq and is a predicted model, not a curated record. Lineage: Eukaryota; Metazoa; Chordata; Actinopteri; Salmoniformes; Salmonidae.